AUGAGAUUGUGUCAUGAACAGAGGAAUAUGAUUAAUCCAGUUCUGUGAACCCAAUGGA
This 58-nucleotide small nucleolar RNA is filed under the name Tursiops truncatus (common bottlenose dolphin). RNAcentral describes it as "Small nucleolar RNA SNORD112 (ENSTTRG00000024668.1)". The record is from RNAcentral. Lineage: Eukaryota; Metazoa; Chordata; Mammalia; Artiodactyla; Delphinidae.